AUAGAUUAUGGGCAGCUAAAUCCUGAUAACAUAUGAGUUUCUCACCUGGAACCAGUUGGGAAAUUCUUUAAAGCCCCAUCUCCAAAACCUCUGACCAUUAAGCCUACAAGGAAUUCUAGGUACUGGAGAAUAGAUACAAGUGGAGAAGAGGUGCUAUAAAGACGGCACUGCUAAUUUAUCCACACAAGCACAGAGUUCAAAAUACUAUGGCUGUGAG
Non-coding RNA from Pelobates cultripes (western spadefoot toad), 217 nucleotides. Lineage: Eukaryota; Metazoa; Chordata; Amphibia; Anura; Pelobatidae. The record is from the annotation of a GenBank genome assembly.